Molecule: transfer RNA, 76 nt
Filed under: Candidatus Woesearchaeota archaeon
Lineage: Archaea; Nanobdellati; Candidatus Woesearchaeota
Description: tRNA-Met
Rfam family: tRNA
About the family: Transfer RNA (tRNA) molecules are approximately 80 nucleotides in length. Their secondary structure includes four short double-helical elements and three loops (D, anti-codon, and T loops).
Source: RNAcentral
GGCGGCGUAGCUCAGUGGUCAGAGCGAGGGACUCAUAAGCCCUAGGUCGCAGGUUCAAAUCCUGCCGCCGUCACCA